GAUCUCCUGGGAUGUUUAGCACUGGGCUCAGAAUAUCAGUGGUGAUAAAAGUGCAGGUCGGCCCCUGACAAGGCGACUCUGAGGAGACU
Molecule: small nucleolar RNA, 89 nt
Organism: Gasterosteus aculeatus aculeatus (three-spined stickleback)
Lineage: Eukaryota; Metazoa; Chordata; Actinopteri; Perciformes; Gasterosteidae
Source: Ensembl